Molecule: ribosomal RNA, 459 nt
Filed under: uncultured bacterium
Lineage: Bacteria
Description: partial 16S ribosomal RNA
Rfam family: Bacterial small subunit ribosomal RNA
Source: RNAcentral
CCUACGGGAGACAGCAGUGAGGAAUAUUGGUCAAUGGGCGGGAGCCUGAACCAGCCAAGCCGCGUGAGGGAAGAAGGUACAGCGUAUCGUAAACCUCUUUUGUCAGGGAACAAAGGCGGGGACUAGUCUCCGGCUGAGGGUACCUGACGAAAAAGCAUCGGCUAACUCCGUGCCAGCAGCCGCGGUAAUACGGAGGAUGCGAGCGUUAUCCGGAUUUAUUGGGUGUAAGGGGUGCGCAGGCGGCCUGGUAAGUCAGCGGUAAAAGCCCGGGGCUCAACCCCGGCGAGCCGUUGGAACUGGCGGGCUGGAGUGAGAGAGAAGUACGCGGAAUGCGCGGUGUAGCGGUGAAAUGCUUAGAUAUCGCGCAGAACCCCGAUUGCGAAGGCAGCAUACCGGCGCCAAACUGACGCUGAGGCACGAAAGCGUGGGUAUCGAACAGGAUUAGAUACCCUUGUAGUC